RNAcentral lists this ribosomal RNA (244 nucleotides) under uncultured bacterium. Its description in RNAcentral is "partial 16S ribosomal RNA". It matches the Rfam family "Bacterial small subunit ribosomal RNA", at positions 524 to 765 of the family's 1533-position model. The record is from RNAcentral.
UACGAAGGGGGGCUAGCGUUGCUCGGAAUCACUGGGCGUAAAGGGUGCGUAGGCGGGUCUUUAAGUCAGGGGUGAAAUCCUGGAGCUCAACUCCAGAACUGCCUUUGAUACUGAGGAUCUUGAGUUCGGGAGAGGUGAGUGGAACUGCGAGUGUAGAGGUGAAAUUCGUAGAUAUCAGGAGGAACACCAGUGGCGAAGGCGGCUCACUGGUCCGGUACUGACGCUGAGGUGCGAAAAGCGUGGG